GAUUGAACGCUGGCGGCAGGCCUAACACAUGCAAGUCGAGCGGUAGCACAGAGAGCUUGCUCUCGGGUGACGAGCGGCGGACGGGUGAGUAAUGUCUGGGAAACUGCCUGAUGGAGGGGGAUAACUACUGGAAACGGUAGCUAAUACCGCAUAACGUCGCAAGACCAAAGUGGGGGACCUUCGGGCCUCAUGCCAUCAGAUGUGCCCAGAUGGGAUUAGCUAGUAGGUGGGGUAACGGCUCACCUAGGCGACGAUCCCUAGCUGGUCUGAGAGGAUGACCAGCCACACUGGAACUGAGACACGGUCCAGACUCCUACGGGAGGCAGCAGUGGGGAAUAUUGCACAAUGGGCGCAAGCCUGAUGCAGCCAUGCCGCGUGUGUGAAGAAGGCCUUCGGGUUGUAAAGCACUUUCAGCGGGGAGGAAGGCGUUAAGGUUAAUAACCUUGGCGAUUGACGUUACCCGCAGAAGAAGCACCGGCUAACUCCGUGCCAGCAGCCGCGGUAAUACGGAGGGUGCAAGCGUUAAUCGGAAUUACUGGGCGUAAAGCGCACGCAGGCGGUCUGUCAAGUCGGAUGUGAAAUCCCCGGGCUCAACCUGGGAACUGCAUUCGAAACUGGCAGGCUAGAGUCUUGUAGAGGGGGGUAGAAUUCCAGGUGUAGCGGUGAAAUGCGUAGAGAUCUGGAGGAAUACCGGUGGCGAAGGCGGCCCCCUGGACAAAGACUGACGCUCAGGUGCGAAAGCGUGGGGGGCAAACAGGAUUAGAUACCCUGGUAGUCCACGCCGUAAACGAUGUCGAUUUGGAGGUUGUGCCCUUGAGGCGUGGCUUCCGGAGCUAACGCGUUAAAUCGACCGCCUGGGGAGUACGGCCGCAAGGUUAAAACUCAAAUGAAUUGACGGGGGCCCGCACAAGCGGUGGAGCAUGUGGUUUAAUUCGAUGCAACGCGAAGAACCUUACCUGGUCUUGACAUCCACAGAACUUUCCAGAGAUGGAUUGGUGCCUUCGGGAACUGUGAGACAGGUGCUGCAUGGCUGUCGUCAGCUCGUGUUGUGAAAUGUUGGGUUAAGUCCCGCAACGAGCGCAACCCUUAUCCUUUGUUGCCAGCGGUCCGGCCGGGAACUCAAAGGAGACUGCCAGUGAUAAACUGGAGGAAGGUGGGGAUGACGUCAAGUCAUCAUGGCCCUUACGACCAGGGCUACACACGUGCUACAAUGGCAUAUACAAAGAGAAGCGACCUCGCGAGAGCAAGCGGACCUCAUAAAGUAUGUCGUAGUCCGGAUUGGAGUCUGCAACUCGACUCCAUGAAGUCGGAAUCGCUAGUAAUCGUAGAUCAGAAUGCUACGGUGAAUACGUUCCCGGGCCUUGUACACACCGCCCGUCACACCAUGGGAGUGGGUUGCAAAAGAAGUAGGUAGCUUAACCUUCGGGAGGGCGCUUACCAC
This 1441-nucleotide ribosomal RNA is filed under the name uncultured organism. Its description in RNAcentral is "16S ribosomal RNA". It matches the Rfam family "Bacterial small subunit ribosomal RNA". The record is from RNAcentral.